This 468-nucleotide ribosomal RNA is filed under the name uncultured bacterium. RNAcentral's name for it is "partial 16S ribosomal RNA". It matches the Rfam family "Bacterial small subunit ribosomal RNA", at positions 28 to 507 of the family's 1533-position model. The record is from RNAcentral.
GACGAACGCUGGCGGCGUGCUUAACACAUGCAAGUCGAACGGAAAGGCCCUGCUUUUGUGGGGUGCUCGAGUGGCGAACGGGUGAGUAACACGUGAGUAACCUGCCCUUGACUUUGGGAUAACUUCAGGAAACUGGGGCUAAUACCGGAUAGGAGCUCCUGCUGCAUGGUGGGGGGUGGAAAGUUUCGGCGGUUGGGGAUGGACUCGCGGCUUAUCAGCUUGCUGGUGGGGUAGUGGCUUACCAAGGCUUUGACGGGUAGCCGGCCUGAGAGGGUGACCGGCCACAUUGGGACUGAGAUACGGCCCAGACUCCUACGGGAGGCAGCAGUGGGGAAUAUUGCACAAUGGGCGGAAGCCUGAUGCAGCAACGCCGCGUGCGGGAUGACGGCCUUCGGGUUGUAAACCGCUUUCGCCUGUGACGAAGCGUGAGUGACGGUAAUGGGUAAAGAAGCACCGGCUAACUACGUG